AGGUGAAAUUUGUAGUUUAAUAGUAAUGUUGAGACUUAUGGGGAUUCUUUUGGAGGCUGUUAAAAUCUAGGUUUAGACCAGGAUUAGAUACCCUGUUAUACUUGAUUUGAAAUGUAUUACUUGAUUAGUAUAAGUUAUGUUCUCGAAAUUUAAAGGAUUUGGCGGCACUUGAGUCUGGUUAGAGGAACCUGUUAUUUAAACGAUAUUCCACGAAUUAUCUUACUUUGCUUUGUAGUCAGUAUGUAUACCUCCAUUCUAAGAAUGGUAUAUUAAUAUAGCCAUUUAAAUUGAUUAUUGUUAAGUAUGUUAGGUCAAGGUGCAGCCAAUAGUAGAGGGAUAAAUGGGUUACAAUAUAUCAUAUAAUAUAUGGAUAAUCUCUUGAAAGGGAGAUUUGAAGGUGGAUUUAAUUGUAUUUUUAUUUUAAUAUGUUAAAAUGAUGUUAGCUCUGGGGUGUGUACACAUCGCCCGUCGCUCUCACUACUUAAAGUGAGAUA
This 494-nucleotide ribosomal RNA is filed under the name Arachnochium mirabile. RNAcentral's name for it is "partial small subunit ribosomal RNA". The record is from RNAcentral. Lineage: Eukaryota; Metazoa; Arthropoda; Malacostraca; Decapoda; Palaemonidae.